This 2509-nucleotide long non-coding RNA is filed under the name Aquilegia coerulea. Its description in RNAcentral is "long non-coding RNA (ACOE_LNC001873)". Lineage: Eukaryota; Viridiplantae; Streptophyta; Magnoliopsida; Ranunculales; Ranunculaceae. The record is from RNAcentral.
GGAAGAAGAAACAAGGAUGAUUGAAAGCAAUUGGAGAGUUCUUUCAUGAAAUAGUCAAUUACCAAACACAAGGCAAUUAAGUUUUAUAUCUGAGCGCACACUUAUGGUGGCUGAAAGAGACAGGAUCAGGAAGGUGUGACGUUGUACCUCGUUCAGUCUAUCACCAAACCAGAAUAACUUACCUUCUCUGACCCACGAAGGACAAUUCUGGGUUUCCUAACAUCAUCGUGCAGGAAGAAGUGCACAUAACAUCCAAUAGAGGACCACGAGGUUUAGGCAACCAACAAGAAUUUGAGGGGUCAACAAAGCCCUUUUGAUGUAGGACAUCCUACCUACACCAAUUGGUUUCCUAUUUGGGUUAAUGUUUAUUUAGAAGUCAUUAUAAGUUUAGGAUUUCUAUUUUAGAGUCUAGAAGUUCUAGAAUAGUAAGUUGAUAUUAGUAAUACAAUUCAAAGUAGGAUUUCUAUUAAGUUGAUAUUAGUAAUACAAUUCAAAGUAGGAUUUGUAUUUUGAUUUCUUUGUUUAGGAAGUCCUAGUGCUAGUUGGUCUUAGUCUUUAGUCUAUAUAAAGAGUCAUGCUUUGUAGAACAAUUAUUCAACCAAUUCAAUGAUUCACUCAAUACAAUUAAGAUUUGUCUCUACAAUUUAUUUUUCUUUAGUUUUGUUUUAGUUCUUCCUUGUUUCAAGGCAAACCUCCCCUUGGGUUACUCAAGGUUUGAUUUUUAAUCGCUUCCGCUACGUCAAUUGGUAUCAAGAGCUUCGUUUCGAUCCUACAAUGGUUAAAAACGGAGAUUCUUCACCCCGCUCCCAAGUCGGUAAUCUUGGAGAUUAUGUGACGAAGGUUGAAUUCAAUUCAGCUAUUGAUCGUCUCACCGCUUUAAUCGACAAUCUUACUCUUCGAUUUGAUAAGUUGGAAGGUAAGCAACAUAUUAUUGAUGCUCCCACCCUCCCACCCUCUUUCAUACCACCACCACACCCACCCCCAUCACCACAAUUUACCACCACAAUUGUACAACAAGUUUCCUAUAUUGGUUUUUCAUCUCUCCCUAUUAAUGUCAACCCUCAACCAUUACAAAACCUAGCCUCACAGCCCCAACACUACAACUCCCAAUACUCACAACCUUGUAAUACCUCCCAACUAUCUCACAUUUCCAUUACUCCACAAUUUGCCACAACCUAUACCACCAUUACUUCUCCCUCACAAUGUCAAAGUCAAACCCUACUUUCAACCACACCACCAACAAAUCAUGUUUGUCUUAAAGAAGAAAAUGUUAUAAUAGAGAGCUACCAAGUUUUAAUGGAAAGCCACCGAGUUUUAAGGAAGAUUCUUCCAAUAUCGUGGCCAAAAUUGAUGAAGCAAAACCAAUUUUUACUGAAGACAAAUAUCAUAAAGUUGAAAUCGCUGCGAAAGAUUCAUUACCUCUAGAUGUUCAACAUUAUGAUUUUAUUGGAAUUGAUCAUAUACUAUCACAAAAAGUUCUUUUUGUUCUCCAAGUCCAAGGUUUUGAAUCAAAAGACGGAACUACAACUUCCAUUAAUAUGAGGAAAGUUUACAAGAGUCUGUGUUAUUCAAAGUAUUUUUUCUUAUGGAGCGGACGAUAUCAAUACAACAUAAAUUCGAGGACGAAUUCUUUUGAAGAAUGGGGGACUGAUGUAGGACAUCCUACCUACACCAAUUGGUUUCCUAUUUGGGUUAAUGUUUAUUUAGAAGUCAUUAUAAGUUUAGGAUUUCUAUUUUAGAGUCUAGAAGUUCUAGAAUAGUAAGUUGAUAUUAGUAAUACAAUUCAAAGUAGGAUUUGUAUUUUGAUUUCUUUGUUUAGGAAGUCCUAGUGCUAGUUGGUCUUAGUCUUUAGUCUAUAUAAAGAGUCAUGCUUUGUAGAACAAUUAUUCAACCAAUUCAAUGAUUCACUCAAUACAAUUAAGAUUUGUCUCUACAAUUUAUUUUUCUUUAGUUUUGUUUUAGUUCUUCCUUGUUUCAAGGCAAACCUCCCCUUGGGUUACUCAAGGUUUGAUUUUUAAUCGCUUCCGCUACGUCACCUUUUCUGAUGGUUUUCCCAAACAAAUUUUGUUUUUGUUUUUGUUUUCUUUUAUUUUAUUUUUUUUUACUUUUGUUCUGGAGUGCAUUCUUCUAUUUUUAUCCUUGGUGGUUAAAAAAACUGAAACUGGGUAUACGUGUAGAGCUCCAUGAUCGCGAAAAUGUGAGGAUGAAACUAAAACUAGAACUAGUUGUUUCCUUCCUUUGCUGGGGGAAAGAGUGCCAUUGCUAAACAGGGUGGGUCGAGAUGACCUACAAGUAUAGAUAGAAUACAAAAACAGCAAGAAAAUACGAAAAGAACCAAUACCGUUAACUGUUAACCAUUCUCAAAUUGGAACAGCCAAUCCUAUCCCGCCACAAAUUCCCCUCCUAUGUAGCAAUGUCUUCUACUCCUCUCAAGCCAGCCCUCGCAACACCGCAAAUGACAGAAGACCCACAAAACCAUACUAAUAACUUAUACAAAUAGGGUCACCCU